GUUGUGGAUGAACGAACAAAGCUUCUAGUUUAGGCAGCAUCGCUGGUAGCUGUGGUUCAGGCCUGGAUCCUGUUGGUCCAUAACAGAGAUGUCCGUCGGAAUGCGAAACCUCUCAUCCGGUAUGGUCCGAUGUUAAUCCGGGAUCAGGAGAGGAUAGCAAAUCUGAACUACAUUUACAACUACAACGACACAGAGGCUCCGUGGAUGCUUCGAAUGAGAAGAGUACAUUUCGCCAGGCUUGUGCAAACGUUUAGAAGCAGGGGGCUGCUAGAAGAUAGCAUCCACAUCACUGUGGAAGAGCAAGUGGCCGUGUUCCUUCAUAUUGUUGGUCAUAACCAGAGGUUUAGGGUUAUAUACAACACCUUUAGGAGAUCAAUGGAGAACAUCUCCAGGUACUUCGAGAAAGUGUUGUAUGCUGUUGGGGAGCUCAUAGGAGAGAUGGUCAGGUCACCAACCGACUGGACUCCUAUCAAGAAUCGCACAAGCCCAAGAUGGUAUCCAUAUUUCAAGGUGAGCACUGACAGUAUGUAG
This 531-nucleotide ribosomal RNA is filed under the name Triticum aestivum (bread wheat). Its description in RNAcentral is "partial small subunit ribosomal RNA". The record is from RNAcentral. Lineage: Eukaryota; Viridiplantae; Streptophyta; Magnoliopsida; Poales; Poaceae.